This 432-nucleotide ribosomal RNA is filed under the name uncultured bacterium. Its description in RNAcentral is "bacterial SSU rRNA". It matches the Rfam family "Bacterial small subunit ribosomal RNA", at positions 29 to 507 of the family's 1533-position model. The record is from RNAcentral.
AACGAACGCUGGCGGCAGGCCUAACACAUGCAAGUCGAACGCAUCGCAAGAUGAGUGGCAGACCGGGUGAGUAACGCGUGGGAACCUUCCCAGUGGUGCGGAAUAGCUCAGGGAAACUUGAGGUAAUACCGCAUGAGCCCGCAAGGGGAAAGAUUUAUCGCCAUUGGAUGGGCCCGCGUCGGAUUAGCUAGUUGGUGAGGUAACGGCUCACCAAGGCGACGAUCCGUAGCUGGUUUGAGAGAAUGACCAGCCACACUGGGACUGAGACACGGCCCAGACUCCUACGGGAGGCAGCAGUGGGGAAUAUUGGACAAUGGGCGCAAGCCUGAUCCAGCCAUGCCGCGUGAGUGACGAAGGCCUUAGGGUUGUAAAGCUCUUUUGGCGGGGACGAUAAUGACGGUACCCGCAGAAUAAGCCCCGGCUAACUUCGUG